CCUACGGGAGGCAGCAGUGGGGAAUUUUGGACAAUGGGCGAAAGCCUGAUCCAGCAAUGCCGCGUGAGUGAAGAAGGCCUUCGGGUUGUAAAGCUCUUUUGUCAGGGAAGAAACGGUGUGGGCUAAUAUCCUGCACUAAUGACGGUACCUGAAGAAUAAGCACCGGCUAACUACGUGCCAGCAGCCGCGGUAAUACGUAGGGUGCAAGCGUUAAUCGGAAUUACUGGGCGUAAAGCGUGCGCAGGCGGUUUUGUAAGUCUGUCGUGAAAUCCCCGGGCUCAACCUGGGAAUUGCGAUGGAGACUGCAAGGCUAGAAUCUGGCAGAGGGGGGUAGAAUUCCACGUGUAGCAGUGAAAUGCGUAGAGAUGUGGAGGAACACCGAUGGCGAAGGCAGCCCCCUGGGUCAAGAUUGACGCUCAUACACGAAAGCGUAGGGGAGCAAACAGGAUUAGAUACCCUGGUAGUCCACGCCCUAAACGAUGUCUACUAGUUGUCGGGUUUUAAUUAACUUGGUAACGCAGCUAACGCGUGAAGUAGACCGCCUGGGGAGUACGGUCGCAAGAUUAAAACUCAAAGGAAUUGACGG
Molecule: ribosomal RNA, 586 nt
Filed under: uncultured bacterium
Lineage: Bacteria
Description: bacterial SSU rRNA
Rfam family: Bacterial small subunit ribosomal RNA
Source: RNAcentral